This 293-nucleotide ribosomal RNA is filed under the name uncultured bacterium. RNAcentral describes it as "partial 16S ribosomal RNA". It matches the Rfam family "Bacterial small subunit ribosomal RNA", at positions 335 to 620 of the family's 1533-position model. The record is from RNAcentral.
GGUCCUACGGGAGGCAGCAGUAGGGAAUCUUCCACAAUGGACGAAAGUCUGAUGGAGCAACGCCGCGUGAGUGAAGAAGGGUUUCGGCUCGUAAAGCUCUGUUGGUAGUGGAGAAAGAUAGAGGUAGUAACUGGCCUUUAUUUGACGGUAAUUACUUAGAAAGUCACGGCUAACUACGUGCCAGCAGCCGCGGUAAUACGUAGGGAGCAAGCGUUAUCCGGAAUUAUUGAGUGUAAAGGGUGCGUAGACGGGAUGUCAAGUUAUUUGUGAAAUACCUCGGCUCAACUGAGGAA